Nicotiana tabacum (common tobacco) is the source of this 2463-nucleotide RNA transcript. It is a transcript of the gene named F-box protein At4g22280-like, with no coding region annotated. Lineage: Eukaryota; Viridiplantae; Streptophyta; Magnoliopsida; Solanales; Solanaceae. The record is from RefSeq and is a predicted model, not a curated record.
AUGAUAUAUUUUCUAUAACAAUGCUCCCCAAAAAAUUGUACCCAAAAAUAAAAAAGAAGAGAAACCAAAUGGGCGCCAUCCAAGUGUAGGAAGUAGGAUUUGUCAAAUGGAGUACAGAAUUUGGGGUCACGUGACGAAAGCGUGCUUCCCAUCAUUACUACUGAAGGCGUUACUAUACGCGCACACACCGACUCGGAUGUUGCCGGUUUCAGGCUUCUCUGUGAUAACCAACCUUCGCCGCUAACGAAGGCACUCGGUUCGUUUGUCGGGUCAAAUAUCCAAUAUGAUCGCUAGGCGUAGGUGGCACACAGUUAACCGCUUCAAACGGCAAAAUGCUUUGGAAGUGCAUAACAUUGAUAACAUAGAAGAUAAGAUCAGCAAUUUACCUGAUUCCAUUCUUCAUCACAUUCUUUCAUAUCUUCCUACCAGGGAUGUUGUAGGGACAUGUAUACUAUCAACAAGGUGGAAGAAUCUUUGGACUUGUGUUGAAAACAUUGACUUUGAUGACUCAUUGCUCUACUCAAGUGGGAUUUUUGGUUAUCCUGUGAACGUCACUUGUUUCAUGCACUUUGUCCAGAGAGUUCUUCAACUUCGAGAAGAAUCCGACAUAAAAAAGUUUCGCCUUUCCUGCCGUGUUUGCUUCAGUGCCUCUCAUGUUUGUUUAUGGAUUUUAGCUGCUAUUAGGCAUAAUGUUAAAGAGCUUGAUCUUUGCCUUUUUGUAGAAGAGCCUUUUAUGUUGCCUCAAUGUGUUUUCAGUAGCAAGACGCUUACUUCUCUAAAACUUGAAAUGAAUUGUGUUCUUGAACUACCUGCUAGUACCUUUUUUCCUUUCCUUAGAACGUUGCACCUAUGUCUUGUCACAUUUCGGGAUGAUAGCUCAACCCAGAGGCUGUUUUCUGGUUGCCCUAUGCUUCGAGAGUUGGCUAUAUUAGAUUGUGAAUGGAUGAACUUGAAGCAUGUCGCAAUUUCAAUCUCUACAUUGAAGAGUUUGACAAUUGAUGAUUUGCCUUUCUUUGGCUCCACUGACGAUCUAAAUGGCUGCGAAAUCAAGAUUGAUGCAGCAAGUCUUAGUUUCCUAAAGUACAGUGGUUAUCUAUCAAAUGAGAUAUAUUUGUAUAAUCUAUCCCCCUCAGUGUAUGCAUCUAUUCACAUCCCAAUUCUCUAUGAGAAGCGAAAUCAAAUUGCUUUUCGUGCUGUUAAGCUCUUUAGAGGGCUACACAAAAUUAACGCUGCGAGAAUAUCUAGCAGGGCUAUUGAGUCUCUCUUCAUCGCAGACAUAGAGAAAGACCGACUUCCAGUAUUUUAUAACUUGAUGCAUUUGGAGUUGAGUAUGGAACUUGAAAAUCAUACGAUUGGACCAUUGAAGGAACUGCUCCAAUGUCUGCCAAAGUUGCAAUCACUUCAUUUUUCUGAGGGAUUUGCCCCCUGCAUGCGCCUUUGUGAAGAUGACUGGAACUUGGGAUCUGUACCAUCCUGUUUCUUGUCUAGUCUCAAGACAGUGACAUACACCAAUUUUCAUGGUAAUGAUACAGAAAUUUCUUUUUUAAGAAAUUUGGUGAACAAUGCAAUAGUUUUGGAGAAGCUGAACAUAGUGUGUUCAAAGAUACGUUUCGGGGAUCCAAAGAAGCAAAAGGAAGUUAAAGUUCAACUGCAAAGUCUUCAGAGGGGAUCAGUUUCUUGUGCUAUCAAGUUUAUGUAAAACCUCAAAGAGCCUUUACCUUUUAUUGUAGGUGUAUGUGAUGCAGUUUUCUACAAGCAGUUAGUUUGCAAGCAUUUGUUGCGGCUCUUGCAGAUCGCUGACUAUGAUCUUUUGAUUUCUAUUAUGAGUGCAACACCAUGCUUUAGUAUGCUUGUCCUACUUCACACAUCAGUUAUUUUUUGGUAACGCUGUCUCCAGGUUCAUGUAAAUCAGUUGGAACUUCUUUUGGCACCUAGGUCACAAAUCUUUAAGGUCUUUCUGGAGUAGUGGAAUCUGACUACUGGAACAGGUGAUUUCUUUUUAUUCCUCUAAUCCUUGGAGGGCAGAGUUAUCCAAAACCUGUUCCGAUAGAAGACAGUAAGUAUCUAAUGGAAUAAUCGAGGUGCGUGAAAACUAGACAUACACCACUAUUUUAGAAAUGAGUAAAUACUGCUUUUGGUGGUUGCGUUGGGAAAGGAAGAAAAAGUAUAAAGAAAGAGGAAUCCAAUAAUGCUUCAAAAACAUUUUUUUUCCUUCUUGACUUAUACCUGCAGUGGAGGGUUGUUAUUAUAGUAUACAAUUGUCGUGCCAUGAAAAUGUCUUUUUAUUCCAAGAAAAAGCCACUUAAGAAUUAGUGUCCCCAAUAGAGAGAACCAGACAGGGGACCUGCAAAAGUUCUCCGUCUGAGUGCGUUGUUUUGAUAAGAGGUACAUUUAUUAAUAUGACACAGCAUUUACAUAAUCUAGCAGGAAUAUGCCAUUUCAGAAAACCCUUUUUUAUUAUAA